This 293-nucleotide ribosomal RNA is filed under the name uncultured prokaryote. RNAcentral's name for it is "partial 16S ribosomal RNA". It matches the Rfam family "Archaeal small subunit ribosomal RNA", at positions 455 to 747 of the family's 1478-position model. The record is from RNAcentral.
GUGUCAGCCGCCGCGGUAAUACCGGCAGCCCGAGUGAUGGCCGAUCUUAUUGAGCCUAAAGCGUCCGUAGCUGGCCACGCAAGUUCAUCGGGAAAUCUGCGCGCUUAACGCGCAGGCGUCCGGUGGAAACUGCAUGGCUUGGGACCGGAAGACCAGAGGGGUACGUCCGGGGUAGGAGUGAAAUCCUGUAAUCCUGGACGGACCGCCGGUGGCGAAAGCGCCUCAGGAGAACGGAUCCGACAGUGAGGGACGAAAGCUAGGGUCUCGAACCGGAUUAGAAACCCCAGUAGUCC